The sequence is a ribosomal RNA, 761 nucleotides long. It matches the Rfam family "Bacterial large subunit ribosomal RNA", at positions 2187 to 2925 of the family's 2925-position model.
CAACCUUGAAAUACCACCCUGGCAACCUUGAGGUUCUAACUCGGGUCCGUUAUCCGGAUCGAGGACAGUGUAUGGUGGGUAGUUUGACUGGGGCGGUCUCCUCCUAAAGAGUAACGGAGGAGUACGAAGGUGCGCUCAGACCGGUCGGAAAUCGGUCGUAGAGUAUAAAGGCAAAAGCGCGCUUGACUGCGAGACAGACACGUCGAGCAGGUACGAAAGUAGGUCUUAGUGAUCCGGUGGUUCUGUAUGGAAGGGCCAUCGCUCAACGGAUAAAAGGUACUCCGGGGAUAACAGGCUGAUACCGCCCAAGAGUUCAUAUCGACGGCGGUGUUUGGCACCUCGAUGUCGGCUCAUCACAUCCUGGGGCUGAAGCCGGUCCCAAGGGUAUGGCUGUUCGCCAUUUAAAGUGGUACGCGAGCUGGGUUUAGAACGUCGUGAGACAGUUCGGUCCCUAUCUGCCGUGGACGUUUGAGAUUUGAGAGGGGCUGCUCCUAGUACGAGAGGACCGGAGUGGACGAACCUCUGGUGUUCCGGUUGUCACGCCAGUGGCAUUGCCGGGUAGCUAUGUUCGGGAAAGAUAACCGCUGAAAGCAUCUAAGCGGGAAACUUGCCUCAAGAUGAGAUCUCACUGGGACCUUGAGUCCCCUGAAGGGCCGUCGAAGACUACGACGUUGAUAGGUGGGGUGUGUAAGCGUUGUGAGGCGUUGAGCUAACCCAUACUAAUUGCCCGUGAGGCUUGACCAUAUAACACCCAAACAAUU